AUUUCUUUCAAUUGUGUAGGAAUUAGAAUACCUUCAACAUUUCCUUUAUGAAAUGAUGUGCACCAGCAAAUUUUUACCAGGAUCUAUUUUCUCCCGUUACUCCACAUUUGUUGACCGCAAAAAUGAACAACUCGAGCAAAUCUUUAUUGCUUAUCCUUUAAUGGGACAUCAGUACUUAAAAUUUGUUGUUCUGAAAGAGGCCAUGAUACACUUAGUUUGCAUAAGCACUGGACUCCCUUAUGAAGAACUCAGUGGAGCGUAUCAAUAGCCUAGGGUACUGCUUUCCUACUGG
Molecule: long non-coding RNA, 292 nt
Organism: Ostrea edulis (European flat oyster)
Lineage: Eukaryota; Metazoa; Mollusca; Bivalvia; Ostreida; Ostreidae
Exons: 3
Source: RefSeq, a predicted model, not a curated record